RNAcentral lists this long non-coding RNA (201 nucleotides) under Gallus gallus (chicken). Lineage: Eukaryota; Metazoa; Chordata; Aves; Galliformes; Phasianidae. The record is from RNAcentral.
CCGGGCUGGCUUUCGACCCCGACCUUAUUAUGGGAUGUCCCUGUAGGGCAUGGAGAAGGGAUGCAGGGCGGCGAAGCGCCGGUCGUGCCACAGCAGCUUCUGCUGCAGGAACUGCAGGGCGGGCACUGUCAGCACCAGGGAGCGGUGCUUCAGGAUGCUGUGCACGUUCAGCCCUAUGGCGGGGAUGAGGGUGAAGGUUUU